Molecule: long non-coding RNA, 2301 nt
Organism: Oryctolagus cuniculus (rabbit)
Lineage: Eukaryota; Metazoa; Chordata; Mammalia; Lagomorpha; Leporidae
Source: Ensembl
AUGCCGCUGAAGAAGCGCAGCAGCCGGCGCUCCGAGGCCGCGCCGGGGCCGGCGGCGGCGGCCCGCGCGCGCUCCAGCCGCUGCAGGUCGCUGUUGUCCAGCGUGCGGUUCUUGCUCUUGCUGCACUCCCAGCGCUCCGCGUCCCGAGCGCGCGUCGCCCUUGUUGAGCACCUCGCCCACGUCCAGGGUGUUGCGCUUCUCCGACGCCGGCUGCGCGGCGGCCCCGUCGCCCGCAUCCCAGGUCAGGCUCCCGGAGCUGCCGUGGCGCCUCCCGACGCCCAGGGGCGGGCUCUCCUCCGGGCCGCUCCAGUGCCUGAAACUGAGGCUCCGCCGCAGGGGCGCGGCCCGGGCCCCCUCCAGGUCGGGGCUGCUGGGACCCUCCUCCGCAGCCGGAGGGCCGCCGCCGGCCAGGUCCACCGGGUCCGGGCCGCGAGCGCACGGCCGGAGCCGCCCCAGCUCCAGCUGCCCGGUGCUGCGGGUCCGGAAAGUGCGCAAGUCCCAGGCGCGCGGCUCGCGGUCCUCGGAGUCCUCAGCGCCCGCCGCCUCCUCGGCCUCCUCCACGAGCCGCCCAGGCGCGUCCGGGGAGCGCGGGGGCCGGGGCCGCCGAGCAGGGCGCGGGUCGGGGCCGGACGCGGCCAGCUGCUCCUUCCUGACCAUGGUCACGGAGAUGCGGUAGACCGUCUUCCUGGGGGGCGUCCCGCGAGGCAUCGCGUCCGCGGGCGGCGACGCGGGCUCGCCGCUGCUGUCCAGCAGCUCCGACAGACUGGCCUCCUCCUGUGUGUGCCCCCGCACCCUCUCACCCACGUCUCCCACCACACCUCCUCCCAGGCUCCUGGCCUCCACCCUGGAAGGCAGCAGAAGCAUCCGGAAACAAUUAGAUCAACAAGGCGACGGGGCAUCCAGAACCUUCCGCGCUUCUCAGCAGACACCCAGCCCGGCCACAGCAAGGACACACGCCACCCCCCCCCCCCCCGGCCUGCUGCAAGGACAGCUCUGACGCAGGAUCCCGCCCUCGUGGAGACACCGCGCGGUCUAGCGGAAAAGGCACACAGACGAGAGGGAGCACGCACGCGGGGCCCACCAAGGCUCUGGUGGUCUUGAGCACCUCCACGUUAAUGACCUCGACUGUGGCUGAGCCGGCUACGGCUGCCGGCACAAGCGCCACACACAGGUCUGUGUUCUCAGCGGUGCGAGGCCAGGCCACCACGGCGGCAGGCUGGCUUCUGCGGAGGCUCCCUCGCCCUGCGCCCCUCGUGGCCACGCCCCCCACAUGUAUCUGCAUGCUGACCUCCUGCUCCUCCAAGGUCACUGGCUGGGGCUGUGCCCCCCACUGCCCUAGGGUCCUUACGUCCACAUUUAGUCACACCGUGACAACGAUCCUGGGGCCACAGCUCGGGCCACAGCACUCACCGAACAAUAACAACGAGAGCCCAGGAUUCAUAAAAUCCCCCUCCUCAGCAAACACCCAAAGACACGGCAACUGCAAGGCCGGCUCGGCCCAGGCUAAGCAGCGGCCGAAGACCAGAGCAGGUGUUCGCGGUCGGAGGGGGAGGGUCUCCCAGCCUCCACUCCGGCAGAGCGGACCAGGGCCCCCCAGGCACCGUACUCCGUAGGGAAGCUGGGAAACCCGCUGUCUACGACAGGGCUGGGGUCAGCUGUUCUGGGCUCUGCCUCCCACCUCCCACGGGUGCGCGAAGCCACGUGUCCAGCUCGGAUGCUGUGUCAUCUCCUGCGUGUCUGCAGACAGCAACUCCGCGAAAGACCCCUAGUGUACCCCCGGUGAUGGGACUGCUCCCCACUUCCUCUAGGGCCCAUGUGCCAAAGCCCCGCCCCGUUUGCUUCAGGUCCAUGGGGGUCACAGGCUUUGUUAAAUGCAAUGGUUUCUUGUUCUGUUUGUCUGCAAGGCAACCCUAGAAGCGAGAACAGGAUGCCUGCCCUGAGCGUGGUCUCCAGCACGGCACGGAGCCCCGGGGUACAGGAGAGCCUGGUUCUCCACCGCUCGUCCUCAUCCGCGGCCAUCACCAGCAGCGACCCCCGUGGCCGGCCGCUGGACAAUCGCACGUCCUUGCGGGGAUGCAGGGGCGCAGCCUGGACGCGGCACUGCUGGGUUUCCUGCUGGAGUCUGCAGCCCCGCAAGUUACUCGCUGGAACCCCCCACCUCCAGUGACUGCCGCACCCAGCCCCGCACAGGACCACCCCCUUUUCUGUGAGUCUCCAGACCAAAACCCAGGAUCCUGUCUCAGUAAAGAGUCCCUCACAGCACCCAGGACAGCGCCUCAAAUAAAACCAACAAAUAAACCA